This 601-nucleotide ribosomal RNA is filed under the name uncultured bacterium. Its description in RNAcentral is "bacterial SSU rRNA". It matches the Rfam family "Bacterial small subunit ribosomal RNA", at positions 794 to 1393 of the family's 1533-position model. The record is from RNAcentral.
UCCACGCCGUAAACGAUGAGUGCUAAGUGUUAGAGGGUUUCCGCCCUUUAGUGCUGCAGCAAACGCAUUAAGCACUCCGCCUGGGGAGUACGGUCGCAAGACUGAAACUCAAAGGAAUUGACGGGGGCCCGCACAAGCGGUGGAGCAUGUGGUUUAAUUCGAAGCAACGCGAAGAACCUUACCAGGUCUUGACAUCCUCUGACAACCCUAGAGAUAGGGCUUCCCCUUCGGGGGCAGAGUGACAGGUGGUGCAUGGUUGUCGUCAGCUCGUGUCGUGAGAUGUUGGGUUAAGUCCCGCAACGAGCGCAACCCUUGAUCUUAGUUGCCAGCAUUCAGUUGGGCACUCUAAGGUGACUGCCGGUGACAAACCGGAGGAAGGUGGGGAUGACGUCAAAUCAUCAUGCCCCUUAUGACCUGGGCUACACACGUGCUACAAUGGGCAGAACAAAGGGCAGCGAAGCCGCGAGGCUAAGCCAAUCCCACAAAUCUGUUCUCAGUUCGGAUCGCAGUCUGCAACUCGACUGCGUGAAGCUGGAAUCGCUAGUAAUCGCGGAUCAGCAUGCCGCGGUUGAAUACGUUCCCCGGGCCUUGUACACACCGC